AAGAAUAACCUUGGAGUAUCACUUGAAUUUUCAAAACGACCUAACAAUGCUAAACUAUAAGCUCAUAACUCAUAACCUAUCAAAAAAAGUACAGAUAAAACAAAAAAACUAUUUAAAUCUUAAAAAAUGAAAUAUGAGAAAAAAAUGAAAAGAGAAGAAAUAAAUUUUAAAGUAUAUGUAAAUUUUAGAUAUUAAGUAAAAAAGAGAAUAUGUAAGUUGAAUUUUAAUCGGUAA
This 234-nucleotide long non-coding RNA is filed under the name Cucumis sativus (cucumber). RNAcentral describes it as "long non-coding RNA (CSAT_LNC003204)". The record is from RNAcentral. Lineage: Eukaryota; Viridiplantae; Streptophyta; Magnoliopsida; Cucurbitales; Cucurbitaceae.